RNAcentral lists this non-coding RNA (21 nucleotides) under Caenorhabditis elegans. Lineage: Eukaryota; Metazoa; Nematoda; Chromadorea; Rhabditida; Rhabditidae. The record is from RNAcentral.
UGGGUACUGUAACUUAUUCGG